CCUACGUGCGGCAGCAGUGAGGCAUAUUGGUCAAUGGUCGGGAGACUGAACCAGCCAAGCCGCGUGAGGGAGGCAGGUACUGAGUAUCGUAAACCUCUUUUGUCAGGGAACAAGGGCUGGGACGCGUCCCCGUAUGGGUGUACCUGAAGGAAAAACAUCGGCUAACUCCUUUCCCGCAGCCGCGGUAAUCCGGAGGAUGCGAGCUUUAUCCGGAUUUAUUGGGUUUAUAGGGUGCGUAGGCGGUCUUUUAAGUCAGCGGUAACAGUUCGGGGCUCAACCCCGACCCGCCGUUGAAACUGGGAGCCUUGAGUGGGCGAGAAGAAGGCGGAAUGCGUGGUGUAGCGGUGAAAUGCAUAGAUAUCACGCAGAACCCCGAUUGCGAAGGCAGCCUUCCGGCGCCCUACUGACGCUGAGGCACGAAAGCGCGGGGAUCGAACAGGAUUAGAUACCCGGGUAGUC
This 459-nucleotide ribosomal RNA is filed under the name uncultured bacterium. RNAcentral's name for it is "partial 16S ribosomal RNA". It matches the Rfam family "Bacterial small subunit ribosomal RNA", at positions 338 to 795 of the family's 1533-position model. The record is from RNAcentral.